AGUGGCGCAGUCCGCAAAGUUGGUGGAGUGAUUUGUCUGGUUAAUUCCUAUAACAAACGAGACUCUAGCCUGCUAAUUAGUACGCCAGUCCUCUGUUCCUGUGCUGGUGGCGUUUUGACGAAACUGCUUGCUUAAGCUGACUACUUUCGGGCCGCGCAUUUCUAUGCGCGCUUGUGCUGCGAGCCACUUCCGGGGUGAGUGGUGUGCGUGCGUGUGGGGGCGUGGACUGCGGUAGGAGGGGUAAGCGGUGGGUUCUGCGUUAGCCUCCGGGUACGGCGCAGGUGUGCCUACUUCUUAGAGGGACAAGCCCUACGAAUCUGCACGAAAUUAAAUAAUUAGAGGUCUGUGAUGCCCU
Molecule: non-coding RNA, 355 nt
Organism: Schistocephalus solidus
Lineage: Eukaryota; Metazoa; Platyhelminthes; Cestoda; Diphyllobothriidea; Diphyllobothriidae
Source: Rfam